CUUGGUCAUUUAGAGGAAGUAAAAGUCGUAACAAGGUUUCCGUAGGUAAGUGGAGAAGCUUUCCAUCUUACACCCCCCAUAGUCCAUAGUUGCUCGUCCGAUGCGCCGUUGUCUUGCCUCUUCGGCAGGUCUCUCCGGCUUUUUCGGAUUUUUUUGGUGCUCCCUUAGCUAGUGGGGGUGUUGCAUGAAUGCAGACAGCGGACGCGGACAAAACUAGUAGUUUAAUUUAACCUACUACUUGCCCACUUACCAUCUUUCUAUGCUUGAAUAACGUGCUGACUUUUCUCUUUUAGGUGAACCUGCGGAAGGAUCAUUACCGAGUGUGACCCCCCCGUAAAAAAGGGGGGUGCCUCCCGUCCUUUGCGGGCCCCUUGGGGCUUUCAGACUUUGCUUCGGCGGGGCUGCCCCGCCGGAACACCCUCAAGAAAAUCUCUUACAAAACCGUUCAGUCCGAGGUUGCGAUAAUAAGCAAAACUUUCAACAACGGAUCUCUUGGUUCUGGCAUCGAUGAAGAACGCAGCGAAAUGCGAUAAGUAAUGUGAAUUGCAGAAUUCAGUGAAUCAUCGAAUCUUUGAACGCACAUUGCGCCCCCUGGCAUUCCGGAGGGCACACCUGUUCGAGCGCCAUUUCGACCCUCAAGCACAGCUUGGUGUUGGGCUCGGUCCUGCGGGACCGGCCCGUAACUCGUAGGCGGCCGCCGCCCGCGCCCCCAGCGUAGCAAGCUCACGCGUUCGCUCGGGGACGGCGCGUCUGGCCCGCCAGACAAAUUUUUCAAGGUUUGGCCUCGGAUCAGGUGGGGAUACCCGCUGAACUUAAGCAUAUCAAUAAGCGGAGGA
This 836-nucleotide ribosomal RNA is filed under the name uncultured fungus. RNAcentral's name for it is "eukaryotic LSU rRNA". The stretch from base 473 to 626 matches the Rfam family "5.8S ribosomal RNA". The record is from RNAcentral. Lineage: Eukaryota; Fungi.